RNAcentral lists this ribosomal RNA (497 nucleotides) under uncultured bacterium. RNAcentral describes it as "partial 16S ribosomal RNA". It matches the Rfam family "Bacterial small subunit ribosomal RNA", at positions 28 to 507 of the family's 1533-position model. The record is from RNAcentral.
GAUGAACGCUGGCGGCGUGCCUAAUACAUGCAAGUCGAGCGAACAGAUAAGGAGCUUGCUCCUUUGACGUUAGCGGCGGACGGGUGAGUUACACGUGGAUAACCUACCUAUAAGACUGGGAUAACUUCGGGAAACCGGAGCUAAUACCGGAUAACAUAUUGAACCGCAUGGUUCAAUAGUGAAAGGCGGCUUUGCUGUCACUUAUAGAUGGAUCCGCGCCGUAUUAGCUAGUUGGUAAGGUAACGGCUUACCAAGGCAACGAUACGUAGCCGACCUGAGAGGGUGAUCGGCCACACUGGAACUGAGACACGGUCCAGACUCCUACGGGAGGCAGCAGUAGGGAAUCUUCCGCAAAGGGCGAAAGCCUGACGGAGCAACGCCGCGUGAGUGAUGAAGGUCUUCGGAUCGUAAAACUCUGUUAUCAGGGAAGAACAAAUGUGUAAGUAACUGUGCACAUCUUGACGGUACCUAAUCAGAAAGCCACGGCUAACUACGUG